GUGAUAAUUAUUUUCAGCUGAAAAAACCGGCAACAAUGUAUUAUAAUAACUAUAUGAUAAGGAUGAUCUAAUGGAAACAACAGCUUUGCAAAAUCAAAUAGAUUUGUUUUUUUUUCUGUUGCAAAAAAGGGUAAAAAUAGAUCAGCCCUUCUUGAUAUUGACAUCGGCGGUGAUUAAUCGUCGCCGGCGGCGACGGCAGCAGCAACGGCGAUGGCUCUUCAGUUUUCUAUCAUCUAUAUAUCUAAUUCUAUAUACUUUUUUUUUUCCUUUUCUGUUUAAAUUAAAAAACAUUAAAAAGGAACUUGUACUAAAUUAAAAAUGUUUCUCGCAAAAUAUCUCCGAUCGUCUUCAUCGUCGUCUCUGGUGAUGUCACAUGUUUUCCGGUGGAGGAAAGUUGAGAUCCAGAUUUAAACCGGCGGUGGUUGAUUUCACGUCAACACGCAUAAAAUCAAUUACCGUUGAUGAAUCAGAGUCACCACCACCGAGGUAAUCUACCGUUUUCUUCCGAUUUGUUUCUAACUUUAUAACUCCGGCGCGUGCAAGUGCUUCUAUAUAGUACAUAUGAUUCACCGCCUGUACCGAACCGGUAAAACCUCCACCGGAGCUCGGGAACUUAACCGUAUGAUGAUUAAACCCGCCGAUUGAUCCACAGAGACUUAGAUCUAACGGCGAUGAUGAAUCAACCAUAACCGGACUCGAUGACUCCACAGUACUAGUCUGACUCGGACUCCGAUUGAUUUCAUUUUUCACAGCGAAUUUCAGAUCUUCCUCUUUUUCCAUUUCUAAUUUCGGAAAAUUAGUUUUCGCUUUCGCUCCACGAAAUUCUCUAGCAGCGUUAUCAUAAGCUCUAGCCGCCUCCUCCGCAGUAUCGAAAGUACCUAACCAAACCCUACUUUUUUUCCCAGGAUCUCUAAUCUCCGCCGCGUAUCUCCCCCAUGGCCUCUUCCUUACACCUCUAUAAUGCACCUCUUUCGAAAUUCCAUUUAAAUUCACCAUUGCCAUAGCUGUAACUGCACCAAUUUUUUCCUUAGGCGCCAUAGCUAAUUCAAA
Molecule: unclassified non-coding RNA, 1050 nt
Filed under: Hevea brasiliensis (rubber tree)
Lineage: Eukaryota; Viridiplantae; Streptophyta; Magnoliopsida; Malpighiales; Euphorbiaceae
Source: RNAcentral